RNAcentral lists this long non-coding RNA (8452 nucleotides) under Cricetulus griseus (Chinese hamster). RNAcentral describes it as "lncRNA (ENSCGRG00015034111.1)". Lineage: Eukaryota; Metazoa; Chordata; Mammalia; Rodentia; Cricetidae. The record is from RNAcentral.
GAGAGAGAGAGAGAGAGAGAGAGAGAGAGAGAGCACUGACUUACUUUAGAAGCACUCUGUCUAGUCCACCCCUAGUUAUUUGUGGCUGUACCAAAGGGGGAAAAAAUGGCUGGAGAUUCACAGAGGGCUCACGGACUGCAUUCCACUUAGCCCACUCUUGCAUCCCUGUAGGUUGCUGAAUGUCAUCCAGUUGACCUGCUUGAGUUAAUCAAUGUGUGUUUUCCUGGUCCCUCCACCUUGAGGCGUGUUCGUGGGAAGUGGAAUGACUGAGAAGGAGGCAGUGGGCAGGAAGAGGAAGAAGACCGGAGCCCCAAAUUGAUUAAACAGACCCCAGAUGAUCACCAGCUCACAGGGGACGGCGAGAGGUUUUAACCACCCACAGCUCUCCGUAGCCCAGAGAGUCCCUUCACAGGUCAGAUCCCUCUCUUGGCCAUCUAUUUUUAGAUUGCUCACUUUUCAUCUCCUGUUAGAACUGUGCUGCUAGAGCAGUUUCAGAAGAGACAUACUUGUGGUAGUAAUGGAAGCAUCUAUCGAUCGUACCAAGAUUGGAGAAUCAGAUCUACUUUGCAGGUCUUUUAAGUACCACUCAUUCACUAGCCCUCUCCCAGUGUUCCACCGCGGCAAGCUAACAUUUGCACACAUCUUCAACAUUUUGGAACCUUUUUAAAAAUGCAUGUUACCACACGAGCAUUUCUCAAUUGCCCUGUCAGCUUUAAGGUUUUUGCAGUGGAAGAAAAAUUGUUAAGUGUUUAUGAGGGAAGGUCUUAGAGUCAUUUAGCUGCUAAAUGUCACAGACCUAACACAACCAUAGCCUGCCUUUCCAAGAGGGAUUAGGAUGUCCUCUUGGACACCCUGGGUUGAGUAAAGCAAACAAACACAAAGAGUCCUGCAUCUGGAAUAAUUGCUGACAUGCAAGGUUUGCUAAUCUUUCUGGUGCUCCUGUCUGAUCUCCUCAGUGCCAGGAGCUGUUCCGGGUGCUUGCCUUCCAUGCUCACCACAGUCAGUGAGACCACACUCAGCUAGAAAAGAGUGUCCACGCUGAGGGGAAAUCAACAGAAAAAUGUGUCUGUAUAGAUUGUAGGGCCCUGGUAGAGGGUGAACUUUAGGAAGUUGGGGGGCCAUAUGAAUCCUGUGGCAGGUAAAGGGGUGCUGCUGAGAGUUUCCGGCAUGAAGGCACGACUUCCUUCCUGGGCCAUCUCUCACCUUCCCUAUAAUCUCUCGAGGGAGGUGAAAUGUUGGGACUACUCCAUUGCUAUUUUUCAAGUUUGGGGAAGGUGUGAUUUUGCUAGAAUGGAUAUUGUCAAUGACAAAACUGAGUCCCUGAGCCAAAUGGCUUCGAUGGUUAGUGUUGAUUUCCAACUUGGCAGGAUCUGAAAUCACCCUGGAGACAGGUUUCCAGGCACACUUGUGAGGGAUGAUUUAGAUCCAUAUAGUCCCUGGGCAGGCCUAUGAGGGACUUCCUUGGUUAAGCUAACGGAGAUGAGAAGAGCCAUCCUCUAAUUGUACUUGUGUUCUGGACAGCAUUCCAAAGAGAAGGAAGGAAGCCUCCCAAGGGGAUUCACCACCCUGGUCCCCGUCUGUAGAUGCAGCACAACCAACUGUCUCAUGUUCCUACCAGCAGCGUUUCUCCACCCUGAUGGACUUUGAACUGUGAACCAAAUAAAGCCCUUUCUCCCAUAAACUACUUUUGUCAGGAUAUUUUAUCACAGUGAUGGGAAAAGAAACUAGUUCAGUGGUGUUUGCAGAAAUUUGAUAAGGAAAUGGCUUGAAGAAUCUUGAAUGCAUUCAAAGGGGGGAAUCCUUUAGCAUCGACCGAAGAAACCCAUGCAGUGGAUUUUAAAGUUAGACAACUGAAAAUAUCAACUCGAAGGGCAACAAUUUGAUUGGUUAUGAUUCUCAGUGGGAUAGGAGGGAGGAGAUGACCCCUGGAUCUAAAAACAGGUGCCAUGCCUCUAUGAGUCUUUCUCUUCCUCUGACAGAUCCAUGAGUAAUUGACUUCAUUUACCAAACAGGCUGAGCACACGUAAAAUUAGGCUACUCAUCUGAACGAGGGGAAAAAAAACUCCUGUUUCCCGGCGUAGUCUCAGAGCACCAUGUGUGAGAGAACACGACAGAAUAGAACUGAUUAUGCAAAAUGAGCGAAAAGAGAACUGCAUCUCUUGGUGGCAUGUGGCAGCCUUGCAGGGAAGGCAGAGCCCAGGGACACUGGGUGCUAUCUCUGACAGCCAUGUGUCACAAAACUGAAUGGCAGGAUGGGGCUAAGAUAUGGGCUUGUAUGUCCUUGUACACAGCCCUCCGAGAUAUGCCUGCAGUACACACAAACUACUCACACAUUCAAAAGAUGCCCUGAGGGGCCACUAGUGACAACAUCCACAUGGAGGAAAAAGGAAAACACUAUUCAUCCCCCCCCCAGCCCUGUUUUUUGGGUUAUCCCAUAGUCUCCACUCUGGUCUUUAAGGAUCCCUCUAGAGAUUUGAAUAGCCUUUGAGAACCCUGCCCACUCAGCACAGUGACUGCAAAAGCUUUGAAGAGGCUGGAAAUGAUUGCCUGCUUACAUAGAGAGGUAGUAAGGAGGUGAGGAUGGAGAGAGGCUUUUUAGUUCUCCAAGAACAUAGACAGACAGGGAAUCCAAGUGGUGUUCUGAAGAUGAGGAUGCUUGCUCAGUGUGUCUACUGUGAGCCUAGUAGCUAUCUAGGGUCCUGGGUCCCUACUGCAAAAAUAAAUAGAUAAUGCCUUACUUUAAGAUCCCUCUCCAAAGUGUGUCUAUAGAUAUGUAUAUACUUACGACUGAAUCCAGACAUUAAUGACAUUCGGUGCAUAAAAGCACGUGUCCUCCACGAAGGUUUGAAGACCUACGUAAUGAACUCUGUAUACUGAUGCCUAGUUGCAAUCAUGGCAGUAUAGACUCACCAGGAGAAAAUGACAUGACUGCAAGACUGGGUGCUUUGACAACAGACAUUUGAUUCUCUGUCCCUUCAUCAUCUUGGGAACGGACAAUAGGAUUCUAAGGACAGUGUCUCAGAGCAGAAGGACUUGCUCUGUUCAAAACUUGGAAAAUCUGAAUGAUAAGAUAAUUAAAUCGAUCACAGAUCACAAACCACUGGGGGAGGGGGGUUACAAAAAAUGUGCAUCCAUGCUGAUCCUGAAAGUAAUUCAAGGAGAAGAAGGCAUUCUUGCUUAGAGCUAAGUCUUCAAGACCAGUUGGUAAACUUCGGAAAACCAUGAUUUUUGUAAGCAUUAUGGUGCAGACUAGAAGUGUCGCUUUGAUGCUAAGUCUCAUAGGGAACUUUGAAAAAAGCAGGAUAUCUUCAUGGUUUAAAAGUAUGCGUGUGUGGGAAGGAGAGUUUUCUGAAAUAUAGAAUGUUGGCUGACAGUACCGGGGAACAGGUUGGCCAUACUGGGCCUGAGGGAAAACUGGGUCGGCCCCAGACUCCUUCUUCAUGGUCUUAAAAUACAGGAGAUACUGGAAGCAACAGCCAACGGCUGUAAAGAGGAUGGUGAUUCAUGAAUUCUAUAUGAAGCCAGAUCAUUGUUCUGUGAAGGGAACAGAAUGUUAUUUUAAGCUAUGCGAUGACUUAAAAAAUAUACAACUCAUUUACUCUUUUUGACAACUACUCUAGGUACCUGAGUGACUAACUAAAGACAAGACAUUCUUGGCACAAAAGUCCUCAAACCAUCUAAAUAAGAGUUUCUCUAACACUUUGAAGUAUUUUUGAGGGAAUUGAAUACAAGAUGUCAUCAAUACUUCCUAAAAUAAUUCUCAGCAUGAAGUAAUAUUGGUAGCACCAACACCGAUUUAAAACUAUGAAAUAAAACAAAAAAAAUCCAUAUUAACUCACAAGAAGAUGGGUUCAAGGGGAAGGGGUGAGAAAGUUUAUAUUAAUCUCACUGUUUGCUGGGAAGGUGAUGUGAAUCCCAGAUUUGACAGGAAGGAGAUAUAGUUCACUCCAGUGCUGUAACUGGUGAGUUUGUGAUGACGCUUAGACUCACAUGGAAUCUGGUAAAAGAUGCUGAAGCAUCCUUGCCAUGAUCACAAUAGGUGACUACAGUUAACCCCUAGGCCUUAAAGCAGUGGUUCUCAACCAUCCUAAUGCUGCAGCCCUUUAAAAACAGUUCCUCAUGUUGUGGCGAACCCAACCAUAAAAUCGUUUUCAUUGCUACUUCUUAGCUAUAAUUUUGCUACUGUUAUGAAUCAUAAUGUAAAUAUCUGAUAAGCAGGAUCCCUGAUAUGUGAACCCUGCAAAAGGGUCUUUCAAACCAAAGGGGGUCACGACCCACAGGUUGAGAACCACCCCAGGAAGGAGGGAUUGCUGUAACUAUGUGAGCAAUGGCUAUAGCCAUGGCUGCAGGAGAGCAACCCCAUUUGGAGCCAUCUUCAGUAGAAGAAUAUGGUCCUACACACUUGGAAUCCUUCUGGAAGCAAGUUUGAAGUCAUUACACUCGGCUUCCAUUCCCCACAUCCCCCAUACUCUGCCACAGCCAGCCAGUGGCUAGAUGCCAGGGUAAUCUGUGAUUGAAGAAGCCUUGUUGAUAUGCCAAGAUAUCAGUCUCUGAGCCUCCAGGACCUCAGGAGAAACCACAGGACAUUCAGCAGUAACAGUGGAUACCGUCAUUUAGGGUAUUUGUCUCACUAAAGAUACAGAGGAAACGAGUCAAAUCAAUUUGACACGUGGUGUGUUUUCUGCUCUAGGAGCCUAAAAUUCAUCCAUACUCUACAAACAGUAAGAACUAGAGUGAAAGGCCCAUUCACCCUGAGUGUCUAAAAUGUAUUUCAUGGUAGAAUUUGUCAAGAAUGACAACUCUUGAUACCCAUGGAAUUGGGAAAUACAAUACUAACACGUUCAAGAAUGUGCUUUCUACUUUACAAACCACAACUAAUGAAAACUCAUAAAGCAAAAAAAGAGAGAGAAAAUAAUACCAAAGGGCCCUCUAAAACUAGAAAGCUCCAUAAGUUAGUUAAGCCAAAACAUAAAGGACACAGAUCCCUUACAGAAAGACAGAAGCUGCUCAAAUUAACUUUGAAAUAAUAAGUUAACAAGAACCUUAUUUCAUUUUUUAAAAACAAAGUUUUAGAAAUUACAUAUAAAUGAUUACUAUUUGGAAGUAUCCCAAAUGCCCCUUGCUUUGGAAUUUGCCUUUGCCUGAGCUUGAAGAUGAUCAAGGAGAUAAGAAAAGACAGUUGUUAAAAUGGAAGAGGGAAAUUAAUGCUGAAUUUCUAACAUCUGCAUCUAGAAUCUUAGUUGCAAUGCUAGGGAAAAGUAUUUCAGGGUCUUUAUAGAUCUCCCUCCUAAACCCAGCAAGGGUUAGAGCUGAUGGGUCAUUUUCAUACUGUGCAUAAGACCCAAAGAGGAAACACUUAAAACAGAGGGAUUGAAAGACAAAAAAGUUACUCCUCUCAUUUUCCCAAAAUGGAAGGGCAGUUGAGAAGGGAGAGAUGGGUGGAACAUGGUGUCCUGUUUCCCAAGCUGGGCACUGAUCUGGAGAGGGCAUGGUGAGGGCUAAGGGGUUGAGACUGUGUCUCUACAGCAAGCUCAGGGAGACCCAUGAAACUAAACUCAGACAUGUCGAGUGGGUAAGCAAAUGAAGGGAUUUAGUUUAGCUGUAUAAGAGUUCCUUUGUUAUGGACAGAAUAAAGAACUUCCAACAUUCCCUAGGGAGAGAUGUCAUAGGUAGCUAAGGGUAUUGUCUAGGCAACCUGCCUCACUGGGCCUUUCUUUGUCCAGUGACAUGCUCUUGAGGGGUCAGAGGCAGAGGCUAAUGGCUAAUCCUGAAGGAAGAAUGCAAGUCCCCAUCAAAACCAUUAGUCUUCUUGGGCCAAUGGUAGCUAAAGCCCCAUCAUCAAGGGAAGAGGGGUGCAUUGCUUCAGUUAUAACACAGUACCCAGGAGACAUCAUAGGGGUCGCUGUUGCCCAUCUCUAACCAGUGAUAAUUCACACCUGAUUCUUAUUCAGCCUUUACAUUCGAGAGGCUGUGAAAGAUGAAGGAUGGACUGAGACACUGUCUUAGAGUGGAUUUGGAAGGAUAUUGUGACCUGCUGUCCCCAUUGGCCUGGUCAGGAUGUGGGAAUUUUAGUGCCCAUACCGAGACCAUAUGAGCAAACCAGUAUAAGCCUAUCACUACAUGGGUAGCCAAACGGAAAGGUUGGAAGCUACUUUAUCAUCCAGGCUCAGCUUGAGCUGCUUGGAGACCACUUAAACUAAUAUUCUGGAGUGAGUCAUCCAAAUUGGGCUCAAAUUUACUUACCGAUCUUCUCCCUUUCCCUCAGUUCUUCAGUACUAGGAGAUCAUAGCAAUUUCAGAACGAUGUCAUCACACAACUGAGAGUAAUAAGAUAGAGCGUGCCAAAGAGAGCAGUCCCCACAACAGCAAAACUAAAUAAGCAGCAUGACACAAAGUGGAGGAACCGCUUCUGAAGGAGGAAUUCGUAUAGAAUUCAUCAUCCACCAUGACGAAUAGAAAAUCCACAGCCAUGGGGGAUGGAAGAAGCAGUGUUACAUACUGAGCUACAGGGAGUGUCAGAGUGUGGGCUCCCUAGAGCAUGGGUGUCAGUAAGUCCUGUGACUUCUGAAGUUUAUAACCUAGGCAGGGAUUCACUGACUGAAUACAGGAGGGGAAAUGCUGUACAAUACAGCAGUUCUCUUGAGAAAGCCAACUGCUGGAAACCAGGGAGGGAUGAUAAGGCAAAUAUAAUUUAUUGGACAGAAGAGAGGUGUUCUGAUUUUGUGUGUGUGUGUGUGUGUGUGUUCAUAAGACAAAGUACUCAGACCAAAAUCAACUUGAGGAAGAAAGGGUUUAAUUCAUCUUACACUUCCAGAGUACAGCCUAUCGCUGAGGGAAGUUGGGAUAGGAACACUGCUUGCCCCUCACUCUACGUGCUGAGCCCUGUAACCAGGACUACCCACCUAGGUAUGGUACCUCCCAUGGUCCUUUUACAUGAAUUAGCAAUCAUGAAGAUGCCCCACAGUCAUGUUCAUGGGCCAAUCUGAUCUAGGCAAUUCUCUGAUUGAGAUUCUUCUUCCCAAGUGACUCUAACAUGAAUCAGAAAACCCAACCAGGACAGGAGAGAAAGACAGAUAUCCAGAUAAGUCCCCUUAAUUCAAUGGUUCUCAACCUUCCUAAUACUGUGACCCUUUAAUACACAUCCUCAUGCUGUGGUGACCCCCAAUCAUAAAAUUAUUUUCAUUGCUGUUUCAUAACUAAAUUUGAUACUGCUAUGAAUUGUAAUAUAAAUAUCUGCUAUUCAAUCCAUGUGAAAGGGUCAUUAGUUGUCCCCAAGGGGUAGCAACCUAUUGCUUUAAUAUAUCAGCAGGAAGAAAACUAGGAAGAAAUAUAAGAAAGAAAGAUAAAAAUUUUCUAAGCUCAUAUAAUACUGGAAACUGAACACAGUUUCGGCUAUAAGAUGGGAGCAAUGCUGUAAGGAUGAGCAUGCAACCAGAAGGGACUAACCCUGGUAUGGGAAUAACAGCAUCUCUGGGCUUGUCCUAGCAAGGUUAAAACCAAGGUGACAAGAGGAUUAAACUGAACUGAAAUCAGUUAACCACACUCUACAACAAAGUCCCACAUGGAAAGAAUACAACCUGGUACCUGGAAAUAUAAAGUUCACAAUGCCCAGUAUCUCAUAAAAAUAUCAACAAGGAUUCAAAGUUACAGGGAACCGUGACUCUUAACAAGAAGAAUACGUCAUAAGUAGAAAGAGAUACAGAAAUAACAGGUGAUGUGAUUACUGGAAAAAGACUUAAAGCCACUAUUAAUGUGCAAGUUUUAUAAAUAUGGUCAAGCAUUUAAGGACAUUAUGUACAUGAAAAAGAGAAAACAGAAGAGUUUAAGAGUAGGCAGAUAAACCCUAAUGGGAAACCCUAUUAAAAACUACCUGUAAUAAAAAUCAUAGUGAAUAGGACUAGUGGCAGAGUAAACAUGGCAGUGAGUUGGUAUCACAGCAAGAGAAACUCCUCCAGAUAACAUAUAGGUGUUUUUGCAAAUUCAAAGAAAGUGGACAGAGAACUGACGACCUGGGGGAAAGUAUCAGGAAGUUUGACAUACAUGCGAUUGAGUUCCAAGGAAGAGAGAAGAAAGAACAAUAUAGUUUCUUCUGAAUUUACAGGAGAUUUCUAUCACAAUAAAUGCCUCUAGAAGUGGAAACUAUCAUUAGGUCCGAAGUGUAUUUUAUCCAUUCCUACUGAAUAUCAUAUCCGCUCCCACAGUGCAGUGUGGUAAGAGCUUUUUUCCCUGGUGUUGACAUGUCUGAUUGGAGCUGUGGGUCACAGCAGCUGUCAGUCCUGAGAUGGGAUUGCUCUGCAUAUCAUUAGCAUUGAAAGACUCUAAAUUCAAAACUUGAAGCAUAGUUUCUACCUAAUGACAAUCAUUUUUGCAGUAUUCGACUAUGAGCAGAGGUAGAAACAGUAAAUGGGGUCUGUGACUAGGCACCUUCAGAUAAAACAAUACACAGCUCUCUG